AGCAUAUCAAUAAGCGGAGGAAAAGAAACUAACAAGGAUUCCCCUAGUAACUGCGAGUGAAGCGGGAAAAGCUCAAAUUUAAAAUCUGGCGGUCUCUGGCCGUCCGAGUUGUAAUCUAGAGAAGUGCUGCCCGCGCUGGACCGUGUACAAGUCUCCUGGAAUGGAGCGUCAUAGAGGGUGAGAAUCCCGUCUCUGACACGGACUACCAGGGCUUUGUGGUACGCUCUCAAAGAGUCGAGUUGUUUGGGAAUGCAGCUCAAAAUGGGUGGUAAAUUCCAUCUAAAGCUAAAUAUUGGCGAGAGACCGAUAGCGAACAAGUACCGUGAGGGAAAGAUGAAAAGAACUUUGGAAAGAGAGUUAAACAGUACGUGAAAUUGCUGAAAGGGAAACGCUUGAAGUCAGUCGCGUUGGCCGGGGAUCAGCCUCGCUUUUUUGCGUGGUGUACUUUCUGGUUGACGGGUCAGCAUCAAUUUUGACCGCUGGAAAAAGGCUUGGGGAAUGUGGCAGCUUCGGCUGUGUUAUAGCCCUUUGUCACAUACAGCGGUUGGGAUUGAGGAACUCAGCACGCCGCAAGGCCGGGUUUCGACCACGUUCGUGCUUAGGAUGCUGGCAUAAUGGCUUUAAGCGACCCGUCUUGAAACACGGACCAAGGAGUCUAACAUGCCUGCGAGU
Molecule: ribosomal RNA, 672 nt
Filed under: Macrolepiota aberdarense
Lineage: Eukaryota; Fungi; Basidiomycota; Agaricomycetes; Agaricales; Agaricaceae
Description: eukaryotic LSU rRNA
Rfam family: Eukaryotic large subunit ribosomal RNA
Source: RNAcentral